AUAUAACCCAUUCCUCCCUUUCCAUACAGAUGCUGUGUCUGAUUGGUCUCCUAUGCAUGAAGCUGCAAUCCACGGACAUCAGCUGUCUCUGAGGAACCUCAUCAGCCAGGGGUGGCCUGUGAACAUCAUCACGGCAGAUCAUGUUUCCCCACUCCAUGAAGCCUGUCUUGGAGGUCAUCCCUCUUGUGUAAAGAUUUUAUUAAAGCAUGGAGCUCAGGUGAAUGGUGUGACAACAGACUGGCACACUCCACUGUUUAAUGCUUGUGUCAGCGGCAGCCGGGAUUGUGUGAAUUUGCUUCUGCAGCACGGAGCCAGCGUUCAACCUGAGAGUGAUCUGGCAUCCCCCAUCCAUGAAGCUGCUAGGAGAGGCCACGUGGAGUGUGUUGACUCUCUUAUAGCUUAUGGGGGCAACAUUGACCAUAAGAUCAGCCACCUGGGCACUCCACUCUAUUUGGCUUGUCAA
Molecule: small RNA, 463 nt
Filed under: Pongo abelii (Sumatran orangutan)
Lineage: Eukaryota; Metazoa; Chordata; Mammalia; Primates; Hominidae
Description: processed transcript
Source: RNAcentral